Long non-coding RNA from Syngnathus acus (greater pipefish), 987 nucleotides. RefSeq lists it as uncharacterized. The record is from RefSeq and is a predicted model, not a curated record. NCBI's taxonomy places the organism in Eukaryota, Metazoa, Chordata, Actinopteri, Syngnathiformes, Syngnathidae. The transcript is spliced from 2 exons.
AACAACAGCCUCUUUCUUCUCCCAACAUGAGCCACAGUAAGCCUUGUGGUUGGACUUUAUUUUUGCAUCAAAUAUGCCCAAACAACUACCAACACGUGUGUUAUUUUGUGGCAAACUUUUUAAGGACGACAAUACAACUGUGAAUUAGCUGGACAUCUGUCACUUUCCCCGGAAUCGAUACCAACUCUCAUUGGAACAGCAGAGUUCAAAGGGACGAGGGAUUCGGAACGAAGACUGAUGGCUGCAGACUGCACUCACUGGGUGAAAACGCCUCGCUGGCAAGAUGGCAGUAUUAUUCUUCCCGUGACAGGUCGGCUCAGGGCGACACUCCUUCACACAGAACAGAUGAAACGCUGACAUGCAAACGCGCCGAAGGAGAAAAAAAAUAAAAACAAGACGAGGCUGUCAGCAUUUUGCCAGCUCUCUCGCUCUCUACUGUUAAAGCAAGCCAGUUAAACGUUGAUUUGAUCUUUUCAUUCCACUCAUAAAUUGACUGAGUUUAACUAAUUUGGUUUGAUGCAAUAAUAGAACAAAUAUAUAUUAUAUCCCAAAGCUGACAGAACAAAAGUCCAGUAAAUAAAAAUAAAUUCAAAUAGUUUAUUUUGGAAGCAACAGCAGGCAAACAUCACUUUUAUUCUAAAAGCGAAACACAUUAAGAAAACCUCUGGGGGGGAAAAAAAAACACUUGAAAUGAUGCACACAUCAUCUGUAGAAAAUGAUCAAAAUAAUCAUUUUAGGAUAUAGUGUCUCAUUAAUUUCUUUUCAUAUCAAUAAAGACUCAUUAAAACAGUCCGUUAAUUCUGUAACCUCGCCGUCCUUAAAGUGCAAAUGAGUAAACAUUUCAUUCCUGCGAUCAAAAGGUAGUAAUUUUUCGCUGCGUGCACGCCAUAAUUAUACAAACACACACAGCAGGCACCCUUCUAAUUAAUACCCCAGCACAAAAAACAAACAAUAGCGUAGAAAGAAGUACACAACAAUACAACAAAA